Molecule: long non-coding RNA, 265 nt
Filed under: Homo sapiens (human)
Lineage: Eukaryota; Metazoa; Chordata; Mammalia; Primates; Hominidae
Description: non-protein coding lnc-URB2-2:1
Source: RNAcentral
CCAAGAGAAAGGCUGAAGGGGAUACUAAAGGAGGAGAUAAAGCCCAGGUGAAGGACGAACCACAGAAUAGAUCCGCGAGGUUGUCUGCUAAACCUGCUCCUCCAAAACCAGAGCCCAAGCCUAAAAAGGCCCCUGCGUAGAAUAGAGAGACAGUACCCAAAGGGAAAAAGGGAAAAGCUGUUGCUGGCAAGGAGGGGAAUAACCCUGCAGAAAAUGGAGAUGCCAAAACAGACCAGGCACAGAAAGCUGAAGGUGCUGGAGAUGC